CUGUUGGGAGACCCUGGUCUGCGCUCAAUCUGUAUGCUUCCUGAGGGAAGAGCAGUACAGGGUUUCCUGUAUGGAGAGGGC
Molecule: microRNA precursor, 81 nt
Filed under: Procavia capensis (Cape rock hyrax)
Lineage: Eukaryota; Metazoa; Chordata; Mammalia; Hyracoidea; Procaviidae
Description: microRNA 504 (ENSPCAG00000019538.1)
Rfam family: mir-504 microRNA precursor family
Source: RNAcentral